AACGCGAAGAACCUUACCUGGUCUUGACAUCCACGGAAGUUUUCAGAGAUGAGAGUGUGCCUUCGGGAACCGUGAGACAGGUGCUGCGUGGCUGACGUCAGCUCGUGUUGUGAAAUGUUGGGUUAAGUCCCGCAACGAGCGCAACCCUUAUCCUUUGUUGCCAGCGGUCCGGCCGGGAACUCAAAGGAGACUGCCAGUGAUAAACUGGAGGAAGGUGGGGAUGACGUCAAGUCAUCAUGGCCCUUACGACCAGGGCUACACACGUGCUACAAUGGCGCAUACAAAGAGAAGCGACCUCGCGAGAGCAAGCGGACCUCAUAAAGUGCGUCGUAGUCCGGAUUGGAGUCUGCAACUCGACCCCAUGAAGUCGGAAUCACUAGUAAUCGUGGAUCAGAAUGCCACGGUGAAUACGUUCCCGGGUCUUGUACACACCG
Molecule: ribosomal RNA, 434 nt
Filed under: uncultured bacterium
Lineage: Bacteria
Description: bacterial SSU rRNA
Rfam family: Bacterial small subunit ribosomal RNA
Source: RNAcentral